GGCUGACGCGCCACUACUUUGUAGCGGGUUUCGGGCGGGCCACGCGUGCGGCGACAGGAACCCAACCCCAGCCGACCUUGAGCCCCAGGAGUUCGUCUCUUACGUCUGCGGAAGUGCAGCUGCCUCAGUUCUUAGCGCAGGUUGACAACUACAGGCACAAGCCUUUGAAGCUGGAAUGUCCUGUUGCUGGUAAAGAAAUGGAUUAGGGAUAACUCAAGUUUCAUCACCUCUCUACAAGUUUCACACUGUUUAAGUCAUGUACCUACAAAAGCCUGUGAAAAAAUCUUUGAAGAUGCUCAGCUUGUUGCAGUCUGAAAUUUCUCCAAGACCAAUGAACAAAACAGGAUCAUGCCCUGAAUACACACCCAAGCUGCAGGCUCCUGCUUAGCCCUAUUUUGGUUUGGCCUCCAUGAGAUCUUCAGCCACAAAAGCAGGAGAUAAAAAUCUUCCUAGAAGCUUUCAUCAGCUGCAAGUUUUCUUACAGAAUGAAACUUUUCUGCUAUUUUUUCUCAUAGUUAAUUGGCUAUUUGAGAAAACCGAAUUUCUGGCUGUCAGCAUUUAAUUGGAUUCUGUGGGUGACUGGAUGACCGCUUUGCACAUCACCAUGGGUAUCAUCCUUACCUUCUUUAAACCUUUUGUGCCAGUCAAAAAUUCUUGCUCUUGAUAUGUCAUCACCGGAAACUACUUUUUUUUUGUUUCUCUUUUGUGACAG
This 712-nucleotide long non-coding RNA is filed under the name Pan troglodytes (chimpanzee). Its description in RNAcentral is "lincRNA". Lineage: Eukaryota; Metazoa; Chordata; Mammalia; Primates; Hominidae. The record is from RNAcentral.